ACUCCUACGGGAGGCAGCAGUGGGGAAUAUUGCACAAUGGGGAAAGCCAUCGAUGCAGCAACGACCGCGUGGAGGAUGACACAUUUCGGUGCGUAAACUCCUUUUAUAUAGGGAAAGAUAAAUGACGGUACUAUAUGAAUAAGCGCCGGCUAACUCCGUGCCAGCAGCCGCGGUAAUACGGAGGGCGCAAGCGUUACUCGGAAUCACUGGGCGUAAAGAGCGUGUAGGCGGAUAGAUAAGUCAGGAGUGAAAUCCUAUGGCUCAACCAUAGAACUGCUCUUGAAACUGUCAAUCUAGAGUAUGGGAGAGGUAGAUGGAAUUUCUGGUGUAGGGUAAAAUCCGUAGAGAUCAGAAGGAAUACCGAUUGCGAAGGCGAUCUACUGGAACAUAACUGACGCUGAGACGCGAAAGCGUGGGGAGCAAACAGGAUUAGAUACCCUGGUAGCUACGAGU
RNAcentral lists this ribosomal RNA (453 nucleotides) under uncultured bacterium. RNAcentral's name for it is "bacterial SSU rRNA". It matches the Rfam family "Bacterial small subunit ribosomal RNA", at positions 335 to 802 of the family's 1533-position model. The record is from RNAcentral.